RNAcentral lists this non-coding RNA (348 nucleotides) under Brassica napus (rape). RNAcentral's name for it is "Eukaryotic small subunit ribosomal RNA". It matches the Rfam family "Eukaryotic small subunit ribosomal RNA", at positions 162 to 425 of the family's 1831-position model. Lineage: Eukaryota; Viridiplantae; Streptophyta; Magnoliopsida; Brassicales; Brassicaceae. The record is from Rfam by way of RNAcentral.
GGCUAAGGCUUUGGCCGAAUCUCUCUACUCCUUGCGGCCGUGGUUGGGCUUGAUGUGGCCGACGGGAUUUCUCCUCUUGUCUUGGUUAAUGGCAAUCCACUCCAUGAUUUAUAACAGGGAUGCAUUUAUUAGAUAAAAGGUCGACGCGGGCUCUGCCCGUUGCUCUGAUGAUUCAUGAUAACUCGACGGAUCACAUGGCCUUAGUGCUGGCGACGCAUCAUUCAAAUUUCUGCCCUAUCAACUUUCGAUGGUAGGAUAGUGGCCUACCAUGGUGGUAACGUGUGACGGAGAAUUAGGGUUCGAUUCCGGAGAGGGAGCCUGAGAAACGGCUACCACAUCCAAGGAAGG